AACGUAGGAGGCGAGCGUUAUCCGGAUUCACUGGGCGUAAAGCGCAUGUAGGCGGUUGCACAAGUCCGUUGUUAAAGCCCCUGGCUCAACUGGGGGAGGUCAAUGGAGACUGUGCGACUUGAGGGCAAUAGAGGCACGUGGAACUCCCGGUGUAGCGGUGGAAUGCGUAGAGAUCGGGAAGAACACCAGUGGCGAAGGCGACGUGCUGGGUUGCACCUGACGCUGAGAUGCAAAAGUGUGGGGAGCAAACGGG
This 253-nucleotide ribosomal RNA is filed under the name uncultured bacterium. RNAcentral's name for it is "partial 16S ribosomal RNA". It matches the Rfam family "Bacterial small subunit ribosomal RNA", at positions 524 to 776 of the family's 1533-position model. The record is from RNAcentral.